GCCUACAUCUUUCUCCCCAGCUGGAUGUUUCCUGCCCUUGAACAUCGGACUCCAAAUUCUUCAGCUUUUGGACUGUUGGACUUACACCAGUGAUUUGCCAGGGGCUCUCGGGCCUUCGGCCACAGACUGAAGGCUGCACUGUCGGCUUCCCUACUUUUCAGACUGGCUUCCUUGCUCCUCAGCUUGCAAGCAGCCUAUUGUGGGACUUCAUCUUGUGAUUGUCCACACUUCAAGCAUGGAAUAGCCACACAUGGUUGGUGGCUACUGUGUUGGACAGAGCAGGAUUAAUAUUAUGGCUGACCAUGUCAAGACAUAAAGCUUGUGAAACUGGAGCUAUACGGUCCAAUACUGGAGCACAGGUUCUUACACUGAACUAAGAAGAAUAUUGUUUGGUGGAAAGAAUUUUGAAGAAGAGGAGAGGAUGAGUUAAAGAGACAAGGACAGAGAAACAUCUUCAUAAGUUGCAGAUGGAGAAACAAUUUAUUCAGGUUUUGAACAAAAUGUGGAAGUGC
Molecule: long non-coding RNA, 512 nt
Organism: Pongo pygmaeus (Bornean orangutan)
Lineage: Eukaryota; Metazoa; Chordata; Mammalia; Primates; Hominidae
Exons: 3
Source: RefSeq, a predicted model, not a curated record